Molecule: ribosomal RNA, 1372 nt
Filed under: uncultured bacterium
Lineage: Bacteria
Description: bacterial SSU rRNA
Rfam family: Bacterial small subunit ribosomal RNA
Source: RNAcentral
GAUGAACGCUGGCGGCGUGCCUAAUACAUGCAAGUCGAGCGAACGGACGAGAAGCUUGCUUCUCUGAUGUUAGCGGCGGACGGGUGAGUAACACGUGGAUAACCUACCUAUAAGACUGGGAUAACUUCGGGAAACCGGAGCUAAUACCGGAUAAUAUUUUGAACCGCAUGGUUCAAAAGUGAAAGACGGUCUUGCUGUCACUUAUAGAUGGAUCCGCGCUGCAUUAGCUAGUUGGUAAGGUAACGGCUUACCAAGGCAACGAUGCAUAGCCGACCUGAGAGGGUGAUCGGCCACACUGGAACUGAGACACGGUCCAGACUCCUACGGGAGGCAGCAGUAGGGAAUCUUCCGCAAUGGGCGAAAGCCUGACGGAGCAACGCCGCGUGAGUGAUGAAGGUCUUCGGAUCGUAAAACUCUGUUAUUAGGGAGGAACAUAUGUGUAAGUAACUGUGCACAUCUUGACGGUACCUAAUCAGAAAGCCACGGCUAACUACGUGCCAGCAGCCGCGGUAAUACGUAGGUGGCAAGCGUUAUCCGGAAUUAUUGGGCGUAAAGCGCGCGUAGGCGGUUUUUUAAGUCUGAUGUGAAAGCCCACGGCUCAACCGUGGAGGGUCAUUGGAAACUGGAAAACUUGAGUGCAGAAGAGGAAAGUGGAAUUCCAUGUGUAGCGGUGAAAUGCGCAGAGAUAUGGAGGAACACCAGUGGCGAAGGCGACUUUCUGGUCUGUAACUGACGCUGAUGUGCGAAAGCGUGGGGAUCAAACAGGAUUAGAUACCCUGGUAGUCCACGCCGUAAACGAUGAGUGCUAAGUGUUAGGGGGUUUCCGCCCCUUAGUGCUGCAGCUAACGCAUUAAGCACUCCGCCUGGGGAGUACGACCGCAAGGUUGAAACUCAAAGGAAUUGACGGGGACCCGCACAAGCGGUGGAGCAUGUGGUUUAAUUCGAAGCAACGCGAAGAACCUUACCAAAUCUUGACAUCCUUUGACAACUCUAGAGAUAGAGCCUUCCCCUUCGGGGGACAAAGUGACAGGUGGUGCAUGGUUGUCGUCAGCUCGUGUCGUGAGAUGUUGGGUUAAGUCCCGCAACGAGCGCAACCCUUAAGCUUAGUUGCCAUCAUUAAGUUGGGCACUCUAAGUUGACUGCCGGUGACAAACCGGAGGAAGGUGGGGAUGACGUCAAAUCAUCAUGCCCCUUAUGAUUUGGGCUACACACGUGCUACAAUGGACAAUACAAAGGGCAGCGAAACCGCGAGGUCAAGCAAAUCCCAUAAAGUUGUUCUCAGUUCGGAUUGUAGUCUGCAACUCGACUACAUGAAGCUGGAAUCGCUAGUAAUCGUAGAUCAGCAUGCUACGGUGAAUACGUUCCCGGGUCU